UAAGUCAUCAUCUUGAACGGCCUCGUCGUGUGCCACUACUUCUCCUCUUUGGCUUUGCUACAAAAGAAUCCAAAGAAAAACUGAAUUAGCUACCCAAGACACCACAACUCACUGAGCACAGUCAGCUUCCGUAUAAAAGGCCACGACUGAAUUCAUACCUUUUGUUGCACUCGCCCUGCAGGUGACAGAAUUCCUUUUAGUUUUAAUCAGUUCCUCCUCAUGUUGGCCUUUGAUUUUAUUCUAACCUUUUAAGCUUCUCUUCCCUUGUUUUUUCGACUUUUUGUUCUCAUCUGCAGGUUCUGUACUGACCCUCUUUGUGUCUUUGUUCUGCCUUUUUGUUCCACUUUGUGCUUUAGAGGUUGCACUUUCUUUCUUUACCUUUAUGUUGUCCUUUUUCUUGGCAGGCUUUUCUAUUGCAAUGCUCUCGGCGUGAGUCUUUUUGGCUUUCUAGAGUGAAGCAGACGUUUAAUGUUCUUGUAUCCGUUCAUGAACCCAAGUAAAAAAAAAAAAAAAAGAA
Molecule: long non-coding RNA, 517 nt
Organism: Rhinichthys klamathensis goyatoka
Lineage: Eukaryota; Metazoa; Chordata; Actinopteri; Cypriniformes; Leuciscidae
Exons: 2
Source: RefSeq, a predicted model, not a curated record